GAUGAACGCUGGCGGCGUGCUUAACACAUGCAAGUCGAACGAAGCAUUUAAGACAGAUUACUUCGGUUUGAAGUCUUUUAUGACUGAGUGGCGGACGGGUGAGUAACGCGUGGGUAACCUGCCUCAUACAGGGGGAUAGCAGCUGGAAACGGCUGGUAAUACCGCAUAAGCGCACAGUACCACAUGGUACAGUGUGAAAAACUCCGGUGGUAUGAGAUGGACCCGCGUCUGAUUAGCUUGUUGGCGGGGUAACGGCCCACCAAGGCGACGAUCAGUAGCCGAGCUGAGAGCGUGACCGGCCACAUUGGGACUGCGACACGGCCCAGACUCCUACGGGAGGCAGCAGUGGGGAAUAUUGCACGAUGAAGGAAACUCUGAUGCAGCGACGCCGCGUGAGUGAAGAAGUAGUUCGCAAUGUAAAGCUCUAUCAGCAGGGAAGAUAGUGACGGUACCUGACUAAGAAGCUCCGGCUAAAUACGUG
RNAcentral lists this ribosomal RNA (481 nucleotides) under uncultured bacterium. RNAcentral describes it as "partial 16S ribosomal RNA". It matches the Rfam family "Bacterial small subunit ribosomal RNA", at positions 28 to 507 of the family's 1533-position model. The record is from RNAcentral.